AUUGAACGCUGGCGGCAGGCCUAACACAUGCAAGUCGAGCGGACGAAGGGAGCUUGCUCCUGGAUUCAGCGGCGGACGGGUGAGUAAUGCCUAGGAAUCUGCCCUGUCGUGGGGGAUAACGUCCGGAAACGGGCGCUAAUCCCGCAUACGACCUGAGGGAGAAAGUGGGGGAUCUUCGGACCUCACGCUAUCAGAUGAGCCUAGGUCGGAUUAGCUAGUUGGUGGGGUAAAGGCCUACCAAGGCGACGAUCCGUAACUGGUCUGAGAGGAUGAUCAGUCACACUGGAACUGAGACACGGUCCAGACUCCUACGGGAGGCAGCAGUGGGGAAUAUUGGACAAUGGGCGAAAGCCUGAUCCAGCCAUGCCGCGUGUGUGAAGAAGGUCUUCGGAUUGUAAAGCACUUUAAGUUGGGAGGAAGGACAGUAAAUUAAUACCUUGCUGUUUUGACGGUACCAACAGAAUAAGCACCGGCUAACUUCGUG
This 484-nucleotide ribosomal RNA is filed under the name uncultured bacterium. RNAcentral describes it as "partial 16S ribosomal RNA". It matches the Rfam family "Bacterial small subunit ribosomal RNA", at positions 30 to 507 of the family's 1533-position model. The record is from RNAcentral.